RNAcentral lists this ribosomal RNA (261 nucleotides) under uncultured bacterium. Its description in RNAcentral is "partial 16S ribosomal RNA". It matches the Rfam family "Bacterial small subunit ribosomal RNA", at positions 524 to 784 of the family's 1533-position model. The record is from RNAcentral.
GACGUAGGAUGCGAGCGUUGUCCGGAUUCAUUGGGCGUAAAGAGUUCGUAGGCGGUUUGUUAAGUUUGAUGUUAAAUAUCGGGGCCUAACCUCGAGAGUGCAUUGAAUACUGGCAGACUGGAGUGCAGUAGAGGCGAGUGGAAUUCCCAGUGUAGCGGUGAAAUGCGUAGAUAUUGGGAAGAACACCGGUGGCGCAGGCGACUCGCUGGGCUGUAACUGACGCUGAGGAACGAAAGCUAGGGGAGCAAAUGGGAUUAGAUA